AGAGUUUGAUCCUGGCUCAGGAUGAACGCUAGCUACAGGCUUAACACAUGCAAGUCGAGGGGCAGCAUGUCGGUUGCUUGCAACCGAUGAUGGCGACCGGCGCACGGGUGAGUAACGCGUAUCCAACCUACCCUUGUCCAUCGGAUAACCCGUCGAAAGGCGGCCUAACACGAUAUGCGGUUCUCAGCAGGCAUCUAACGAGAACGAAAUGUGAAGGAGAAGGAUGGGGAUGCGUCUGAUUAGCUUGUUGGCGGGGUAACGGCCCACCAAGGCUACGAUCAGUAGGGGUUCUGAGAGGAAGGUCCCCCACAUUGGAACUGAGACACGGUCCAAACUCCUACGGGAGGCAGCAGUGAGGAAUAUUGGUCAAUGGACGGGAGUCUGAACCAGCCAAGUAGCGUGCAGGACGACGGCCCUAUGGGUUGUAAACUGCUUUUAUAGGGGGAUAAAGUGUGCCACGUGUGGCAUAUUGCAGGUACCCUAUGAAUAAGGACCGGCUAAUUCCGUGCCAGCAGCCGCGGUAAUACGGAAGGUCCGGGCGUUAUCCGGAUUUAUUGGGUUUAAAGGGAGCGUAGGCCGCGGCGUAAGUCAGUUGUGAAAUCGUGCGGCUUAACCGUGCAAUUGCAGUUGAUACUGCGUCGCUUGAGUGCACACAGGGAUGUUGGAAUUCAUGGUGUAGCGGUGAAAUGCUUAGAUAUCAUGAAGAACUCCGAUCGCGAAGGCAUAUGUCCGGAGUGCAACUGACGCUGAGGCUCGAAAGUGUGGGUAUCAAACAGGAUUAGAUACCCUGGUAGUCCACACAGUAAACGAUGAAUACUCGCGGUUGGUUCGUUAGAUUCAGCCGCCAAGCGAAAGCGUUAAGUAUUCCACCUGGGGAGUACGCCGGCAACGGUGAAACUCAAAGGAAUUGACGGGGGCCCGCACAAGCGGAGGAACAUGUGGUUUAAUUCGAUGAUACGCGAGGAACCUUACCCGGGCUUGAACUGCCAGUGACUCAUGCAGAGACGCAUGUUUCUUCGGACACUGGCGGAGGUGCUGCAUGGUUGUCGUCAGCUCGUGCCGUGAGGUGUCGGCUUAAGUGCCAUAACGAGCGCAACCCUUCUCCCUGUUUGCCAUCGGGUCAUGCCGGGCACUCCAGGGACACUGCCAUCGUAAGAUGUGAGGAAGGUGGGGAUGACGUCAAAUCAGCACGGCCCUUACGUCCGGGGCUACACACGUGUUACAAUGGGCGGUACAGAAAGCAGCUACCCCGCGAGGGGAUGCCAAUCUCAAAAACCGUUCUCAGUUCGGACUGGAGUCUGCAACCCGACUCCACGAAGCUGGAUUCGCUAGUAAUCGCGCAUCAGCCAUGGCGCGGUGAAUACGUUCCCGGGCCUUGCACACACCGCCCGU
This 1392-nucleotide ribosomal RNA is filed under the name uncultured bacterium. RNAcentral describes it as "bacterial SSU rRNA". It matches the Rfam family "Bacterial small subunit ribosomal RNA". The record is from RNAcentral.